UACGUAGGGUGCAAGCGUUGUCCGGAUUUAUUGGGCGUAAAGAGCUCGUAGGCGGUUUGUCACGUCGGGUGUGAAAAUUCGGGGCUUAACCCCGAACCUGCAUCCGAUACGGGUAGACUUGAGUGUGGUAGGGGAGACUGGAAUUCCUGGUGUAGCGGUGAAAUGCGCAGAUAUCAGGAGGAACACCGAUGGCGAAGGCAGGUCUCUGGGCCACAACUGACGCUGAGGAGCGAAAGCGUGGGGAGCAAACAGG
RNAcentral lists this ribosomal RNA (253 nucleotides) under uncultured bacterium. RNAcentral's name for it is "partial 16S ribosomal RNA". It matches the Rfam family "Bacterial small subunit ribosomal RNA", at positions 524 to 776 of the family's 1533-position model. The record is from RNAcentral.